Molecule: ribosomal RNA, 464 nt
Filed under: uncultured bacterium
Lineage: Bacteria
Description: bacterial SSU rRNA
Rfam family: Bacterial small subunit ribosomal RNA
Source: RNAcentral
CCAGACUCCUACGGGAGGCAGCAGUGAGGAAUAUUGGUCAAUGGUCGGGAGACUGAACCAGCCAAGUCGCGUGAGGGAUGACGGUCCUAUGGAUUGUAAACCUCUUUUGUCGGGGAGCAAGGCCCGCCACGUGUGGCGGGAAGGAGAGUACCCGAAGAAAAAGCAUCGGCUAACUCCGUGCCAGCAGCCGCGGGAAUACGGAGGAUGCGAGCGUUAUCCGGAUUUAUUGGGUUUAAAGGGGGCGCAGGCGGCCCGGCAAGCCGGCGGUCAAAUCGCGGGGCUCAACCCCGCCCAGCCGUCGGAACUGCCGGGCUAGAGUGGGCGAGAAGUGCGCGGAAUGCGUGGUGUAGCGGUGAAAUGCAUAGAUAUCACGCAGAACUCCGAUUGCGAAGGCAGCGCACCGGCGCCCUACUGACGCUCAGGCACGAAAGCGUGGGUAUCGAACAGGAUUAGAUACCCCUGUA